CGGAGUUCAGUCUUCCCAGGCCCACCAUUUUGAUCGAGUGCGGAGCAUUCGUCUUCUGGUACGGGGCCAUAGCUCAGCUGGGAGAGCGCGUGCUUUGCAAGCAUGAGGUCGUCGGUUCGAUCCCGUCUGGCUCCACCAGAUGGUUUGAUCACCAACGGCGUCACCGUCGUCCGCGAAACAUCACUUCGCACUCAUUGGUCCGGAUGGACGGUGACGUGCGUGUUUUCUGACAUCGUAAAGAGGAGAUCGAUCCGAGUUUGGAUCAAGCGAAGCAAUUCGCCUGAGCCAUUCAUUAUCUCCGGGAUCAUUUCGGCGCUCGCUUUCAAUCGUGAGAUUGGAUGCGGGUUGUAAAUGAUCCCUUUUAGCGAAGCUUGACCGCCUCGCUAUCGGGCCGAUCUUACGAAGCAAGCUGGUCUUUCUAGUCAAUGUCCGGCUGCGCAAUCGCAUUCAUCGAGGAUGCGCGCCUUCAGUGGCAAUUGUGCAGACAACAUUCUGCCGAGUGUGUGGACAUUGAUAAUGAGAGCAAUCAAGUGCCUUAAGGGUGUUCGGUGGAUGCCUUGGCGCUGAGAGGCGAUGAAGGACGUGCUAC
RNAcentral lists this transfer RNA (589 nucleotides) under Bradyrhizobium sp. STM 3098. Its description in RNAcentral is "partial 16S-23S ribosomal RNA intergenic spacer". The stretch from base 63 to 135 matches the Rfam family "tRNA". The record is from RNAcentral. Lineage: Bacteria; Pseudomonadati; Pseudomonadota; Alphaproteobacteria; Hyphomicrobiales; Nitrobacteraceae.